RNAcentral lists this ribosomal RNA (414 nucleotides) under uncultured microorganism. RNAcentral describes it as "bacterial SSU rRNA". It matches the Rfam family "Bacterial small subunit ribosomal RNA", at positions 9 to 419 of the family's 1533-position model. The record is from RNAcentral.
GAGUUUGAUCGUGGCUCAGAUUGAACGCUGGCGGCAUGCCUUACACAUGCAAGUCGAACGGCAGCAUGAUCUAGCUUGCUAGAUUGAUGGCGAGUGGCGAACGGGUGAGUAAUACAUCGGAACGUGCCCUGUAGUGGGGGAUAACUGGUCGAAAGAUUAGCUAAUACCGCAUACGACCUGAGGGUGAAAGUGGGGGACCGCAAGGCCUCAUGCUAUAGGAGCGGCCGAUGUCUGAUUAGCUAGUUGGUGGGGUAAAGGCCCACCAAGGCGACGAUCAGUAGCUGGUCUGAGAGGACGAUCAGCCACACUGGGACUGAGACACGGCCCAGACUCCUACGGGAGGCAGCAGUGAGGAAUUUUGGACAAUGGGCGAAAGCCUGAUCCAGCAAUGCCGCGUGUGUGAAGAAGGCCUGG